AGAGUUUGAUCCUGGCUCAAGACGAACGCUGGCGGCGCGCCUAACACAUGCAAGUCAAACGGAGCUUAUAGAGCUUGCUUUUUAAGCUUAGUGGCGAACGGGUGAGUAACGCGUGAGUAACCUGCCCUAGAGUGGGGGACAACAGUUGGAAACGACCGCUAAUACCGCAUAAGCCCACGGUACCGCAUGGUACUGAGGGAAAAGGAUUUAUUCGCUUUAGGAUGGACUCGCGUCCAAUUAGCUAGUUGGUGAGGUAACGGCCCACCAAGGCGACGAUUGGUAGCCGGACUGAGAGGUUGAACGGCCACAUUGGGACUGAGACACGGCCCAGACUCCUACGGGAGGCAGCAGUGGGGGAUAUUGCACAAUGGGGGAAACCCUGAUGCAGCGACGCCGCGUGGAGGAAGAAGGUUUUCGGAUUGUAAACUCCUGUCGUUAGGGACGAUAAUGACGGUACCUAACAAGAAAGCACCGGCUAACUACGUGCCAGCAGCCGCGGUAAAACGUAGGGUGCAAGCGUUGUCCGGAAUUACUGGGUGUAAAGGGAGCGCAGGCGGGAAGACAAGUUGGAAGUGAAAACCAUGGGCUCAACCCAUGAAUUGCUUUCAAAACUGUUUUUCUUGAGUAGUGCAGAGGUAGAUGGAAUUCCCGGUGUAGCGGUGGAAUGCGUAGAUAUCGGGAGGAACACCAGUGGCGAAGGCGGUCUACUGGGCACCAACUGACGCUGAGGCUCGAAAGCAUGGGUAGCAAACAGGAUUAGAUACCCUGGUAGUCCAUGCCGUAAACCC
Molecule: ribosomal RNA, 788 nt
Filed under: uncultured bacterium
Lineage: Bacteria
Description: bacterial SSU rRNA
Rfam family: Bacterial small subunit ribosomal RNA
Source: RNAcentral